UACGUAGGGAGCAAGCGUUGUCCGGAAUCAUUGGGCGUAAAGCGCGCGUAGGUGGCCCCAUAAGUCCGCUGUGAAAGUCAAAGGCUCAACCUUUGAAAGCCGGUGGAUACUGUGGGACUAGAGUACGGAAGAGGCGAGUGGAAUUCCUGGUGUAGCGGUGGAAUGCGCAGAUAUCAGGAGGAACACCAAUAGCGAAGGCCGCUCGGUGGGACGGUACCGAAACUUAGGCGCGAAAGCGGGGGGAGCGAACAGG
This 253-nucleotide ribosomal RNA is filed under the name uncultured bacterium. Its description in RNAcentral is "partial 16S ribosomal RNA". It matches the Rfam family "Bacterial small subunit ribosomal RNA", at positions 524 to 776 of the family's 1533-position model. The record is from RNAcentral.